This 349-nucleotide transfer-messenger RNA is filed under the name Vulcanimicrobiota. RNAcentral's name for it is "JAMDEM01 sp023486985 Standard tmRNA". It matches the Rfam family "transfer-messenger RNA". Rfam says of the family: Bacterial tmRNA, also known as 10Sa RNA or SsrA, is named for its dual tRNA and mRNA-like properties. Its role is to liberate the mRNA from a stalled ribosome. The record is from RNAcentral. RNAcentral also lists the same sequence under 1 other name. Lineage: Bacteria; Bacillati.
GGGGGUGAAUGGAUUCGACGGAUUGAGUUCUGGCACAGGUAGCAGGCCGAGUUGCCGCAAGCUCGUUAAAAAGGCGGAAGGCAUACAAACGCCAAUAACGAAUUAGCACUGGCUGCCUAAUAACAGCCACAUCUUCCUCACCUUGCCGGCAGGGUGGGAGAGGGUGUCAAUUUUACCGGAUACUUCCUGCUCAAGCUCCGAAUGCAGGAGGGAAAAAACAGGGGCUUGGAUUCCCGGGGAUUUUGUUCAGGAAAGCCCUGAGGUCCGAGAAAAAAAACCUGAAAUAAGCCUGUAGAAGCCGGUGUGGGAGCCUUUUCGGACGCGGGUUCGAUUCCCGCCACCUCCACCA